ACUCCGGUAGCUCAAGCGGUAGAGCGGCGGUCUCCAAAACCGCAGGUUGCAGGUUUAAGUCCUGCCGGGAAUGCCA
RNAcentral lists this transfer RNA (76 nucleotides) under Caudoviricetes sp. RNAcentral describes it as "tRNA-Trp". It matches the Rfam family "tRNA". Rfam says of the family: Transfer RNA (tRNA) molecules are approximately 80 nucleotides in length. The record is from RNAcentral. Lineage: Duplodnaviria; Heunggongvirae; Uroviricota; Caudoviricetes.